AUACGUAGGGGGCUAGCGUUAUCCGGAAUUACUGGGCGUAAAGGGUGCGUAGGUGGUUUCUUAAGUCAGAAGUGAAAGGCUACGGCUCAACCGUAGUAAGCUUUUGAAACUAAGAGACUUGAGUGCAGGAGAGGAGAGUAGAAUUCCUAGUGUAGCGGUGAAAUGCGUAGAUAUUAGGAGGAAUACCAGUUGCGAGGGCGGUUCCCUGGACUGUAACUGACACUGAGGCACGAAAGCGUGGGGAGCAAACAGGAUUAGAUACCCUGGUAGUCCACGCCGUAAACGAUGAGUACUAGCUGUCGGGGGUUACCCCCCUCGGUGGCGCAGCUAACGCAUUAAGUACUCCGCCUGGGGAGUACGGUCGCCAGACUGAAACUUAAAU
This 382-nucleotide ribosomal RNA is filed under the name uncultured bacterium. RNAcentral's name for it is "partial 16S ribosomal RNA". It matches the Rfam family "Bacterial small subunit ribosomal RNA", at positions 523 to 906 of the family's 1533-position model. The record is from RNAcentral.